Molecule: long non-coding RNA, 1136 nt
Organism: Gossypium arboreum
Lineage: Eukaryota; Viridiplantae; Streptophyta; Magnoliopsida; Malvales; Malvaceae
Exons: 3
Source: RefSeq, a predicted model, not a curated record
GUGAAGAAGUUGCAAUCAAGAUAGACAAAUUGGGAUAAGAUUUUCCUACCCAACCACAUUUAAUGCAGAAACCGCCCUUUCAAAUCAACGCUUCUCAAAAAGUAGACGGUUUCGGCUUCUAAGGAACCAAACCCCAUUUCCAAUCUGACGUUCCUUGUCCUUUUUCAUUCCCUGCACACCUUAUUUCAGUCUGGUUCACGCUGUCUCUCCGCCUCCAUUCUCCGCACGAUGAAGUAAGGGACUCCUCCAUACACACCAAAGAGUCCACAGAGCACAUCCAAACAUUCGACUCUGAUGUUGAGAGCUCUCCGCAAAAACUCGGGUAGGCCAAUCCAAGUGCUCCAAAUCUGGCCUAUUCAAAACCUAGAUUACUCCUAAACAGGUCCAGACUUCUAUUGAUGUAGGACACUUUCUAAAGACAUGGUCCACAUUUCUCCCCCACACCGAGGACAUCCUAUAUUCACUACCAAUUUUCUUUGUCUCAAAUUUGGGAAAAUAGGAAUAAAAUUUCUUGCAAUUUUUUAGAUUGUAAUUUUCACUUUAGUUGGAAGCUGUAAGUUCCACAAUUUCUUAUAAAAAGCUUUAGUAGCGGUCUGUAAUGCAUUAAAAUUAGGGCCAAAGUUGCUUGUAAUAGUUUAUAAGCACUGCGGACGAAGAAUUCACCUGAUGAUUCCCCUUGCCACACCACUAGGUCGUCAUGACGCUCCUUUUCCAAGGGAAUCUGUAAUAUCCUGCCCGCAUCUCUUGCUGAGAAGGCAAUAUGAUUUAUAUUGAAACGAGUGAAAAUCGAUAGCGGGCUGGUUGACGAGUACAGAUGAGGAAGGAGCAAGGAAAGCCAAGUUCACAAAUUUAAGACAAGGAACCUUCACCUAUGAACUGUUUUUAUUUUAGCAUAUAAAACUUCUCAAAGUUAUAAAAUACCACUCCUUCAAUAAGCUAUUAAAAAGUAUACUUACCACGAUAACCCCAACCUCUUCCUCGCCCACCACCUCUGCCCCAGUUUGAAUAUCCACCAUUAUCUAUAAGAAAUAAGUGAAGUAUAAAGUGUGGUCUAACUAAAACGCAAAUUUUUGCUUCACAAAUGUAAAAGUUCAAUGAAAAAUGUCAACAAUUAUCAUAAAACUAUUCAAAAUCAA